GGGUGAUUAGCUCAGAGGUAGAUGCGCUGCACUUGCCAUGUAGAGGCCAAGGGUUCGAAUCCCUUAUCAUCCA
Tritrichomonas musculus is the source of this 73-nucleotide non-coding RNA. The record is from the annotation of a GenBank genome assembly. NCBI's taxonomy places the organism in Eukaryota, Parabasalia, Tritrichomonadida, Tritrichomonadidae.